RNAcentral lists this ribosomal RNA (253 nucleotides) under uncultured bacterium. RNAcentral's name for it is "partial 16S ribosomal RNA". It matches the Rfam family "Bacterial small subunit ribosomal RNA", at positions 524 to 776 of the family's 1533-position model. The record is from RNAcentral.
UACGUAGGGUGCUAGCGUUGUUCGGAAUUAUUGGGCGUAAAGCGCGCGUAGGCGGCUUUGCACGUCAGCGGUGAAAGCCCAGGGCUCAACCCUGGAAUUGCCUUUAAGACUGCAUCGCUUGAACAUCGGAGAGGUAAGUGGAAUUCCGAGUGUAGAGGUGAAAUUCGUAGAUAUUCGGAAGAACACCAGUGGCGAAGGCGACUUACUGGACGAUUGUUGACGCUGAGGUGCGAAAGCGUGGGGAGCAAACAGG